Non-coding RNA from Acanthosepion pharaonis, 85 nucleotides. The record is from the annotation of a GenBank genome assembly. Lineage: Eukaryota; Metazoa; Mollusca; Cephalopoda; Sepiida; Sepiidae.
UUCCCGUACGAUCACCGAAGUUAAGCAACGUCGAGCCUGAUCAUUAUAUGGAUGGGUGACCACUUUGGAAUACCAGGUGCUGUAA